Salmo salar (Atlantic salmon) is the source of this 54-nucleotide non-coding RNA. NCBI's taxonomy places the organism in Eukaryota, Metazoa, Chordata, Actinopteri, Salmoniformes, Salmonidae. The record is from Rfam.
UGAAUUCACUACUGUAAGUCGCUUUGGAUAAGAGCGUCUGCUAAAUGACUAAAA